UUUGUAUGUUUGUGAAUGUUUCCAACAGAGACUCAGUACUGAGUAGUAGUAGUUUGGUGUCUCAGCUCUCUCUGUUUACUAUGCUUUUGUAUAUCAUUAUAUUAUUUAAAUCCCAGGGGGCGGAGCCUAAUAGGCAUUGACUAUCUUUUUUAAAGAUUUUUUGUGUGUGGCAUGUUCAGCCCUUUAUUAUGACAGGAAGCUGAAGUCAUGAAAGGGGAGAGAGAGGGGGAAUGACAUGCAGCAAAGGGCCGCAGGUUGGAGUCAAACCUUCGGCCGCUGCGUCAGGGACUGAGCCUCUCUAUAUGGGCGCGUGCUACCAGGUACUCAGGCGCCCAGGCAUUGACUUUCUAACUAGCCAAAAACAGAGAGAUUUAAAAUGUGGCCAAAAUAUUACGACAUAUUUUUAUUAAUAAUGAUAAGAAUCUUUUAAAUAAUAAUUAAUUGCUGUUGUUCCUCUCAAUCCUGAGCAGCAACAAGCCUUAUUGUUGCAGUUAACAUACAAGAAAGUGAUGCUACUGGGGCAUCCUGUUAGCUGAAUGGUUAAUAUAUAAUAAG
Long non-coding RNA from Sander lucioperca (pikeperch), 555 nucleotides. RefSeq lists it as uncharacterized. Lineage: Eukaryota; Metazoa; Chordata; Actinopteri; Perciformes; Percidae. The record is from RefSeq and is a predicted model, not a curated record. The transcript has 2 exons.